This 76-nucleotide transfer RNA is filed under the name Burkholderia cenocepacia. RNAcentral's name for it is "tRNA-Val". It matches the Rfam family "tRNA". From Rfam's summary of the family: Transfer RNA (tRNA) molecules are approximately 80 nucleotides in length. Their secondary structure includes four short double-helical elements and three loops (D, anti-codon, and T loops). Lineage: Bacteria; Pseudomonadati; Pseudomonadota; Betaproteobacteria; Burkholderiales; Burkholderiaceae. The record is from RNAcentral.
GCGCGGCUAGCUCAGUUGGUAGAGCACCUCCUCGACAUGGAGACUGUCGUCGGUUCGAGUCCGACGUCGCGUUCCA